AUACAUGCAAGUCGAGCGAACUGACGAGGAGCUUGCUCCUUUGACGUUAGCGGCGGACGGGUGAGUAACACGUGGGUAACCUACCUAUAAGACUGGAAUAACUCCGGGAAACCGGGGCUAAUGCCGGAUAACAUAUCGAACCGCAUGGUUCGAUAGUGAAAGACGGUCUUGCUGUCACUUAUAGAUGGACCCGCGCCGUAUUAGCUAGUUGGUGAGGUAACGGCUCACCAAGGCAACGAUACGUAGCCGACCUGAGAGGGUGAUCGGCCACACUGGAACUGAGACACGGUCCAGACUCCUACGGGAGGCAGCAGUAGGGAAUCUUCCGCAAUGGGCGAAAGCCUGACGGAGCAACGCCGCGUGAGUGAUGAAGGUCUUCGGAUCGUAAAGCUCUGUUGUUAGGGAAGAACAAAUGUGUAAGUAACUGUGCACAUCUUGACGGUACCUAACCAGAAAGCCACGGCUAACUACGUGCCAGCAGCCGCGGUAAUACGUAGGUGGCAAGCGUUAUCCGGAAUUAUUGGGCGUAAAGCGCGCGUAGGCGGUUUUUUAAGUCUGAUGUGAAAGCCCACGGCUCAACCGUGGAGGGUCAUUGGAAACUGGAAAACUUGAGUGCAGAAGAGGAAAGUGGAAUUCCAUGUGUAGCGGUGAAAUGCGCAGAGAUAUGGAGGAACACCAGUGGCGAAGGCGGCUUUCUGGUCUGUAACUGACGCUGAUGUGCGAAAGCGUGGGGAUCAAACAGGAUUAGAUACCCUGGUAGUCCACGCCGUAAACGAUGAGUGCUAAGUGUUAGGGGGUUUCCGCCCCUUAGUGCUGCAGCUAACGCAUUAAGCACUCCGCCUGGG
RNAcentral lists this ribosomal RNA (845 nucleotides) under Staphylococcus chromogenes. RNAcentral describes it as "bacterial SSU rRNA". It matches the Rfam family "Bacterial small subunit ribosomal RNA", at positions 51 to 877 of the family's 1533-position model. Lineage: Bacteria; Bacillati; Bacillota; Bacilli; Caryophanales; Staphylococcaceae. The record is from RNAcentral.